RNAcentral lists this ribosomal RNA (393 nucleotides) under Triticum aestivum (bread wheat). RNAcentral describes it as "partial small subunit ribosomal RNA". The record is from RNAcentral. Lineage: Eukaryota; Viridiplantae; Streptophyta; Magnoliopsida; Poales; Poaceae.
GCAGAAGAUAGAGAGAAAAUGAAAGUUGUUCCUUAUGCUUCAGCCAUAGGCUCUAUCAUGUAUGCAAUGUUGUGUACCAGACCUGAUGUGUGUCUUGCUAUUAGUUUAGCAGGGAGGUACCAAAGUAAUCCAGGGGUGGAUCACUGGACAGCGGUCAAGAAUAUCCUGAAAUACCUAAAAAGGACUAAGGAUAUGUUUCUCGUUUAUGGAGGUGACAAAGAGCUCGUCGUAAAUGGUUACGUCGAUGCAAGCUUUGACACUGAUCCGGAUGACUCUAAGUCACAAACCAGAUACGUAUUUAUAUUGAACGGUGGAGCUGUCAGUUGGUGCAGUUCUAAGCAAAGCGUCAUGGCGGGAUCUACGUGUGAAGCGGAGUACAUAGCUGCUUCGGAA